Molecule: ribosomal RNA, 552 nt
Filed under: Triticum aestivum (bread wheat)
Lineage: Eukaryota; Viridiplantae; Streptophyta; Magnoliopsida; Poales; Poaceae
Description: partial small subunit ribosomal RNA
Source: RNAcentral
AUGAGGCAUGAGCCAUCUUUCCUUUUCAAAAAAAGCAUAGAGGCACAGGGAUACUAUAGAAACAGACGCAAAUGCGCUGGCCUUCGUGAUUCCACGACCUGGAAUCAUACCAGCCGAUGGUACCAUAUAACUGGAAUUAACCGAUGCAAGUCGAAGAAGGAUUGGCUGGUGCUGCCGGCUGGCGUCAAGUUCGAUCCCACGGAUCAGGAGCUGAUCGAGCACCUUGAGGCCAAAGUGAGUGCUGACAGCGCGAAAUCUCACCCUCUCAUUGAUUUGUUCAUACCAACCAUCGACAGCGAACACGGCAUAUGCUACACCCAUCCUGAGAAACUUCCAGGUAUCACACUAAGUGGCCUAAGCAAGCAUUUCUUCCAGCGCAAUUCCAGGGCGUUCAAAAGGGGCACAUGGAUGCGUUGCAAGAUACAGUCGAAGUGCGGCAUGCACGUGAUGUGGCACAAGACUGACAAUACCUUGCCGGUGAUGGUCAACGGCCGGCAGAUGGGCAACAAAAAGGUUCUGGUGCUGCACACCAACAAGAACUUCGACCAGUAG